This 667-nucleotide ribosomal RNA is filed under the name uncultured Candidatus Poseidoniales archaeon. RNAcentral describes it as "bacterial SSU rRNA". It matches the Rfam family "Archaeal small subunit ribosomal RNA", at positions 1 to 673 of the family's 1478-position model. The record is from RNAcentral. Lineage: Archaea; Methanobacteriati; Thermoplasmatota; Candidatus Poseidoniia; Candidatus Poseidoniales.
UUCCGGUUGAUCCUGCCGGAGGCUACCGCUAUUGGAGUUCGAUUAAGCCAUGCGAGUCGCGAGAAAUUAGAUUCUCGGCGUACCGCUCAGUAACACGUGGGUAACCUGCCCUAUGCUGGAUAAUAACCUCGGGAAACUGAGAAUAAUGAUCCAUAGUUCACUACGCCUGGAACGGUGAGUGGAUGAAAGCUCCGGCGGCAUAGGAUGGGCCUGCGGCGUAUCAGGUUGUAGGGGGUGUAACGUACCCUCUAGCCCUCUACGCGUACGGGUGUUGGGAGACAUAGCCCGGAGAUGGAUUCUGAGACACGAAUCCAGACCCUACGGGGUGCAGCAGGCGCGAAAACUUGGCAAUGCGAGAAAUCGUGACCAGGGAACUCCAAGUGCAUCGGGUAAGACCGGUGCUUUUCUUGACUCUAAAUAGGUCUUGGAAUAAGGGGUGGGUAAGGACGGUGCCAGCCGCCGCGGUAAUACCGGCGCCUCAAGUGGUAGUCGCUUUUAUUGGGCCUAAAACGUCCGUAGCCGGUCUGAUACAUUCGUGGGUAAAUCAACCAGCUUAACUGGUUGAAUUCUGCGAGGACGGUCAGACUUGGGACCGGGAGAGGUGUGGGGUACGCUCAGGGUAGGGGUAAAAUCCUGUCAUCCUGAGCGGACCACCUGUUGCGAAGGC